GACGAACGCUGGCGGAGUGCUUAACACAUGCAAGUCGAACGGAAAGACCCUGCUUUUGUGGGGUGCUCGAGUGGCGAACGGGUGAGUAACACGUGAGUAACCUGCCCUUGACUUUGGGAUAACUUCAGGAAACUGGGGCUAAUACCGGAUAGGAGCUCCUGCUGCAUGGUGGGGGUUGGAAAGUUUCGGCGGUUGGGGAUGGACUCGCGGCUUAUCAGCUUGUUGGUGGGGUAGUGGCUUACCAAGGCUUUGACGGGUAGACGGCCUGAGAGGGUGACCGGCCACAUUGGGACUGAGAUACGGCCCAGACUCCUACGGGAGGCAGCAGUGGGGAAUAGUGAACAACGGGAGGAAGCCUGAUGAAGCAACGCUGCGUGCGGGAUGACGGCCUUCGGGUUGUAACCCGCUUUCGCCUGUGACGAAGCGUGAGUGACGGUAAUGGGUAAAGAAGCACCGGCUAACUACGUG
RNAcentral lists this ribosomal RNA (468 nucleotides) under uncultured bacterium. RNAcentral describes it as "partial 16S ribosomal RNA". It matches the Rfam family "Bacterial small subunit ribosomal RNA", at positions 28 to 507 of the family's 1533-position model. The record is from RNAcentral.